GUUUGUGGCUCAGUGGUAGAGAGUUUGCCUAGCACGCAUGAGGCACUGGGUUCAAUCCUCAGCACUACA
This 69-nucleotide transfer RNA is filed under the name Marmota monax (woodchuck). RNAcentral describes it as "tRNA.Ala". The stretch from base 4 to 64 matches the Rfam family "tRNA", at positions 6 to 65 of the family's 71-position model. Rfam says of the family: Transfer RNA (tRNA) molecules are approximately 80 nucleotides in length. Their secondary structure includes four short double-helical elements and three loops (D, anti-codon, and T loops). Lineage: Eukaryota; Metazoa; Chordata; Mammalia; Rodentia; Sciuridae. The record is from RNAcentral.